CCUACGGGAGGCAGCAGUGGGGAAUAUUGGACAAUGGGGGGAACCCUGAUCCAGCCAUGCCGCGUGUGUGAAGAAGGCCUUUUGGUUGUAAAGCACUUUAAGCGAGGAGGAGGCUACUCUAGUUAAUACCUAGGGAUAGUGGACGUUACUCGCAGAAUAAGCACCGGCUAACUCUGUGCCAGCAGCCGCGGUAAU
This 195-nucleotide ribosomal RNA is filed under the name uncultured bacterium. RNAcentral's name for it is "partial 16S ribosomal RNA". It matches the Rfam family "Bacterial small subunit ribosomal RNA", at positions 338 to 524 of the family's 1533-position model. The record is from RNAcentral.